RNAcentral lists this long non-coding RNA (1205 nucleotides) under Equus asinus (donkey). RNAcentral describes it as "lncRNA (ENSEASG00005023697.1)". The record is from RNAcentral. Lineage: Eukaryota; Metazoa; Chordata; Mammalia; Perissodactyla; Equidae.
CUGUUCUCCGAUGGAGUAAAAAUGAAAUAAAGUACCUUUUCUCCCGAAUGACAAUAUUAUGAGGGCUAAAAGUCUUGUCAAGAUGCUGUGUGCUCUUUGGUAGAAGAGAUGGUAUAUAAAUCAAGAGAACACGUCCCCUCAUUUUUUUUUUUUAGAUUUUAUUUUUUCCCUUUUCUCCCAAAGCCCCCUGGUACACAGUUGUGCAUUUUUAGUUGUGGGUCCUUCGAGUUGUGGCAAGUGGGAAGCCGCCUCAGCAUGGCUUGAUGAGCAGUGCCAUGUCCACGCCUAGGAUUCGAACUGGCGAAACCCUGGGCCGCCGAAGCAGAGUGUGUGAACUUAACCACUCCGCCACCGGGCCAGCCCCUGGCCCCUCAUUUUGAUGUGCAGGAAGCCGGGGUCCCCAGGUGCUGGCUGCCUUGACAAUAUCUCACCAUCUAGAAUGGACGUCACCCCCGCCCCCCAGUUGCACUUCAGUGGCACUUCUGGAAAAUUAUCUCAAGGAAAAUAUCACUUAGACUUGCAAAAAUGCGUGCACGAGGGUGUCCAGGGAACGCUGUGGAUCCCAGCCCCCAGCUCCCAGGCCCCACAAGCUCCUUUCGUGAAGAUGGACCUUCUCGUCGCUCCCACCGGCAUUCACUUCCAUCUUGCUUGCUGCCGUAUCCCUGGACCUAGAAGACUGCACAGCCACGGUCUAGUAAACUGAGGACUGGAGAAAUCACCCUGGACCUGAGCAAGAGGGCAGCCAGGAAGACGCUAUGCCAACAACGCCUGCCAACAUUUCAGGAAAAAUAAUUGAAAUAAUAAAUAAUUCUGAUUAGGCCGAUAAACCUGGAGGCUGAGGGCAGGACGGAUGCUGAUCUUCCUGACUGAAUCCCGCCAGUUACCUAGAACACGCUGUGUAGAACGUUCUCUUGGAUGUUUGCUGAUCAGCUAUGAUGCCAGGCAGUGAAAGGGCAUCGGGACAACAGUGUCUGUCCCGUGCUCUGUGAAACGGACACAGCACGACUUCACAGGGACACUUUGCAGAGCAGACUUCAGGAAACAAACAGAGCUUAAAAAUAAGCAUUUCCUAAAUAUGGAAAUGAGAAAACGGUGACAUCACUAGAGAAGACCCAAAGACUUUUUUUUUUUCCACCUUAAAUGUUGCCUACCUCUUUUGGGCCAAUAAAUAAAUCUAAGCUUCAGAAGUAAUUUUGAAAAGUUUC